AGUGAACGCUGGCGGUAGACCUAACACAUGCAAGUCGAACGGCAGCACAGUAAGAGCUUGCUCUUACGGGUGGCGAGUGGCGGACGGGUGAGGAAUACAUCGGAAUCUACUUUUUCGUGGGGGAUAACGUAGGGAAACUUACGCUAAUACCGCAUACGACCUACGGGUGAAAGCAGGGGAUCUUCGGACCUUGCGCGAUUGAAUGAGCCGAUGUCGGAUUAGCUAGUUGGCGGGGUAAAGGCCCACCAAGGCGACGAUCCGUAGCUGGUCUGAGAGGAUGAUCAGCCACACUGGAACUGAGACACGGUCCAGACUCCUACGGGAGGCAGCAGUGGGGAAUAUUGGACAAUGGGCGCAAGCCUGAUCCAGCCGUACCGCGUGGGUGAAGAAGGCCUUCGGGUUGUAAAGCCCUUUUGUUGGGAAAGAAAAGCAGCAGGUUAAUACCCCGCUGUUCUGACGGUACCCAAAGAAUAAGCACCGGCUAACUUCGUG
This 492-nucleotide ribosomal RNA is filed under the name uncultured bacterium. RNAcentral describes it as "partial 16S ribosomal RNA". It matches the Rfam family "Bacterial small subunit ribosomal RNA", at positions 29 to 507 of the family's 1533-position model. The record is from RNAcentral.